GUGAGGAAUAUUGGUCAAUGGGCGGGAGCCUGAACCAGCCAAGUCGCGUGAAGGAAGAAGGAUCUAUGGUUCGUAAACUUCUUUUGCAGGGGAAUAAAGUGCAGGACGUGUCCUGUUUUGUAUGUACCCUGAGAAUAAGGAUCGGCUAACUCCGUGCCAGCAGCCGCGGUAAUACGGAGGAUCCGAGCGUUAUCCGGAUUUAUUGGGUUUAAAGGGUGCGUAGGUGGUUUGAUAAGUCAGCGGUGAAAUUUUGCAGCUUAACUGUAAAAAUGCCGUUGAAACUGUCGGACUUGAGUGUAAAUGAGGUAGGCGGAAUGCGUGGUGUAGCGGUGAAAUGCAUAGAUAUCACGCAGAACUCCGAUUGCGAAUGCAGCUUACUAAGCUACAACUGACACUGAAGCACGAAAGCGUGGGGAUCAAACAGGAUUAGAUACCCUUGUAGUCC
This 445-nucleotide ribosomal RNA is filed under the name uncultured bacterium. RNAcentral describes it as "partial 16S ribosomal RNA". It matches the Rfam family "Bacterial small subunit ribosomal RNA", at positions 354 to 796 of the family's 1533-position model. The record is from RNAcentral.